This 483-nucleotide ribosomal RNA is filed under the name uncultured Corynebacterium sp. RNAcentral describes it as "partial 16S ribosomal RNA". The record is from RNAcentral. Lineage: Bacteria; Bacillati; Actinomycetota; Actinomycetes; Mycobacteriales; Corynebacteriaceae.
CACGUAGUUAGCCGGUGCUCCUUCUCCAGGUACCGUCACUUGCGCUUCGUCCCUAGCGAAAGGAGUUUACAACCCGAAGGCCGUCAUCCCCCACGCGGCGUCGCUGCAUCAGGCUUGCGCCCAUUGUGCAAUAUUCCCCACUGCUGCCUCCCGUAGGAGUCUGGGCCGUAUCUCAGUCCCAAUGUGGCCGUACACCCUCUCAGGCCGGCUACCCGUCGACGCCUUGGUAGGCCAUUACCCCACAACAAGCUGAUAGGCCGCGAGCUCAUCCCACACCGAAAAACUUUCCACAAUGGCAUCCAAACCAUCGUCCUAUCCGGUAUUAGACCCAGUUUCCCAGGCUUAUCCCGAAGUGCAGGGCAGAUCACCCACGUGUUACUCACCCGUUCGCCACUCGAGUACCCCUGCAAGCAGGAGCCUUUCCGUCGACUUGCAUGUGUUAAGCACGCCGCCAGCGUUCAUCCUGAGCCAGGAUCAAACUCU